Molecule: long non-coding RNA, 1502 nt
Filed under: Heterocephalus glaber (naked mole-rat)
Lineage: Eukaryota; Metazoa; Chordata; Mammalia; Rodentia; Bathyergidae
Description: lncRNA (ENSHGLG00100041033.1)
Source: RNAcentral
CCCAGCCCGGCUGCCCCUCUGCGGGAGCCCUGUCCGCCUUGUCCUUGCCCUCCCACUCUGGGCCACCAGGUCCUCAGCCAAGAGCCUUGAAGGGACCCACAGUGCCCCCAAGCUGCCCUCAGCCGGAAGAGCCCUCCGGGGCCGUGGAGAGGGUCCCCCGAAAACAUCCUGCACUGGGCCGAUGGGGCCGCCCACGGCGUUCUCCUCCCAAGGGCGACUGAGGGACCUGGGUGAGACCUCAGGACAAGGUGGAGCCUCCAGAGCUACCUUGGCCCCAGAACCUGCUCCCCAGCGGAGCCCCACCCAGGCGUGUCUGGCCCGCCCCAGCUGGCAGGCCUGGGAAAAUGGGUCAGACACUCAAAGCCUCCUUCCGAGGAGGCCUGGACAGGCCUGGCCGGAUGCCUGACCCAGAAAGUGCCCCUUGGAGCCUGUGGGGAUCGAGAAGGCCGGCCAAGGCCUUCCAAGCUCAGUGAACAUGACCCAGUUAGGUCCAGGGGCUGUGUGGGCAUCACCGCAGGAGACUCAGAGCUGGCCGCAAACACGGCUGCAGCAGACACGGAACACAGCGGCUUCCCACAAACCAGCCCUGGGGAAACCGCAGGCAGGCACAUGCAGGCUCAGAACCGGAGAGGGCGCUGCACGGGAGAAGACAGCAAAGGCCUCAUCAGGCCUGAAGGGUGUCGGCGACGGAGCUGGGCUUCCUGUGCCUGAGAGCCAGAUUCCUUAGUGUGCACUGGCAGAAACGCCCCGCGAGGAGCAGGGAUGGAGGCCGGAGGCUGGAGUGACCUGGUUUUCCUGUCUCUAAGCGAGCUCUUGGACUGGCAAUUCUAGACAUUGACAAGUUUGCACGUCGUGCCUGGUGUGGUGGCGCAUGCCUGUGAUCCAGCACUUGGCAGGCUGAGGCAGGAGGAUCACCCGAAAGUUCAAGGCCAGGCUGUACUACACAGUGAGAUCCUGUCUCAAGACAAAACAAAAAGUUUACUUGUUAUUCUCCCAGAUAAAUCAAGAAAUUUAGGAUUGUUUAAUAUUCUCCAUGACUUUUUUUUUUUGGUACCGGGCAUCGAACUCAGGACCUUGUGCUUGCGAGGCAGGCGGUGGAACCACUGAGCUAAAUCCCCAGUUGUACUCCACAAUUUUUCUAAAGGUAAAAUUUUAGGAACCUUCUCAAUAAAUUACCCUCAUCCAUAAACUGGCAGGGGAAAAUAUCUUGUUUGGUGCAAUACUCCCUCUCUAACCCCAGUCAGACAGACUGCUGGUUAAUAGUUGUAGAUGUAGAUUUGUGGGUAACAUAGUAUUUGGUGCCUCUCUCUCUGCCUCUCUCUCUCUCUCUCUCUCUCUCUCUCUCUCCUCUCUCAAUUGAGACAGGGUCUUGCUAUGUAGCCCAGGCUGGCCUCAAGCUCAUAGUGAUCCUCCUGCCUCAGCUUCCCAAGUGCUGGGAUCGCAGGCGUGCGCCACCAUGCCCAGCCCUAGUUCCUCCAUCUUGAAAUUCAUGUGGCUGAUUU